GACCGCGUAGCUCAGUUGGCAGAGCAUUGGGCUAGUAUUCCAAAGGUCGUAGGUUCGGUUCCCACCGUGGUCA
This 73-nucleotide transfer RNA is filed under the name Paramuricea clavata. It matches the Rfam family "tRNA". From Rfam's summary of the family: Transfer RNA (tRNA) molecules are approximately 80 nucleotides in length. Their secondary structure includes four short double-helical elements and three loops (D, anti-codon, and T loops). Further hydrogen bonds mediate the characteristic L-shaped molecular structure. tRNAs have two regions of fundamental functional importance: the anti-codon, which is responsible for specific mRNA codon recognition, and the 3' end, to which the tRNAs corresponding amino acid is attached (by aminoacyl-tRNA synthetases). tRNAs cope with the degeneracy of the genetic code in two manners: having more than one tRNA (with a specific anti-codon) for a particular amino acid; and 'wobble' base-pairing, i.e. permitting non-standard base-pairing at the 3rd anti-codon position. The record is from Rfam by way of RNAcentral. Lineage: Eukaryota; Metazoa; Cnidaria; Anthozoa; Malacalcyonacea; Plexauridae.